GGGCGCGUAGCUCAGCGGUAGAGCACACCCUUCACACGGGUGGGGUCACAGGUUCAAUCCCUGUCGCGCCCACCA
Molecule: transfer RNA, 75 nt
Filed under: Caulobacter sp.
Lineage: Bacteria; Pseudomonadati; Pseudomonadota; Alphaproteobacteria; Caulobacterales; Caulobacteraceae
Also listed under: 634 other names
Description: tRNA-Val
Rfam family: tRNA
About the family: Transfer RNA (tRNA) molecules are approximately 80 nucleotides in length. Their secondary structure includes four short double-helical elements and three loops (D, anti-codon, and T loops).
Source: RNAcentral